RNAcentral lists this ribosomal RNA (175 nucleotides) under uncultured rumen bacterium. Its description in RNAcentral is "partial 16S ribosomal RNA". It matches the Rfam family "Bacterial small subunit ribosomal RNA", at positions 340 to 524 of the family's 1533-position model. The record is from RNAcentral.
UACGGGAGGCAGCAGUGGGGAAUCUUGCACAAUGGGCGAAAGCCUGAUGCAGCGACGCCGCGUGCGGGAUGAAGGCCCUAUGGGUUGUAAACCGCUUUCAGCAGGGAAGAGGCCGCAAGGUGACGGUACCUGCAGAAGAAGCCCCGGCUAACUACGUGCCAGCAGCCGCGGUAAU